UUUUUAUACAGAGGCGUGGAGAGACAGGCUCUACGAAACGCCGGCAACCCUCAGAGUAUCUGAAACGGUGCCAAGUCCUGACCAUAUAAAAA
Molecule: non-coding RNA, 92 nt
Organism: Hymenobacter mucosus
Lineage: Bacteria; Pseudomonadati; Bacteroidota; Cytophagia; Cytophagales; Hymenobacteraceae
Source: Rfam